CUAGUGGCUCCGACGGUUAUUUCUCGCGGUCCCGGUCCUGAGCUGUGGUGGAAGUCCUAGCGCCGGCGGGUAGCUAUUGCACCUAGCAGGACGGUUGGCUGUCGGAGAGGCUUUGACUGUUCCGGCACCGGGAGACUUAAAGUCUCUACGUUUGCCAGUUUCAUAAAUGAACCAACAAGUUCUUCCACAGGUCCUUUGAUUCUGCUGGAGUGGAUCCACCCUCUUUCAUUGGUUUGGAUCGCAGCUUCAUGUGUCAGUAGUACCUGAAAAGGACCUUCCCAUUGUGGAGCAGUGUCAUGGGUUAGCUUCACCUUUAAGACCGAGUGAAAAAAAGAGGAAGUUGAAGCUACUGGUGACUGAUGGGAGUUUUUCUUCCUGACCAAUUAUCAGCCAUUUCCAAGAAUUGACAGCAAAUCUGACCAUUAAAAAGUGAAUUCAACUUGUAAACACCCCCUUAAGAAGUAUACUCGGAGCUUUCUCGUUCUCUUUCUGGUUUCCAGCGUUUGAGAGGUAACAAGCUCUGUGUUAGUUUCCCUCCCCCCCCCCAGGCCCGGGACAAGGCCGCAGGGAUGGGGGGGGGGGGAGGAGAGAAAAGCCGAGCUUAACACUUUUGUUUAGUUUUCAAGGUCUGCUGUUGGACUGAAACUUGACACUAUGAACUUUUGCAGCUUUCUUAAAACUUUUAAUUCUUUUACUACCUGAAUAAACAAACAGAUGACUCCUUUUUCUUAAAAAAGACAGAGAGAGACAAUUAACAUGUAAGACAUCAUAAAACCACCAAAAACAGUGAAGAAAAGAGUUAAGUUUAAAUAAGAAAGAGAGAAAAGGAGAUGCUUGUUGCUGAAAAGUCUUUCUGUUACAGCUAUGGAGAUGAACAGUAGUUUAAAGACUCCUUUAAUUCAUGACUAGAGUAUGGGAGGAAUAGAGUAUUCAAAGUGUGAACUUUAGAGAAAAGUGGUUGUGAUAACUGUGAGUUGCUGGAACUUAGGAGUGAAGUGAAGAUUUUGAAGCUUUAAAAGAGCCAGAGAGAUGGCUGUUUUCCAGGAGGGCUCACAGAGAGAAAUGAAGAGGAUUUCUACCUUUGAAUUACUUAUCCUUAAAAAUGGCAUCCCAGGACUUAAAAUGACCCAUGCACACCUCGGAAGAGUGUACACUGGGAGGAGUAAACUCUAGAAACUCCAUGGAUUAGCAGAAAGAGACUUCUGUUUCUCUGCGGAGACUGAUGAAAAGACUCUAAAAAUUGAGACUGUUUUUGACCACCAAGAUUCUAAAUUUUUUUGUCUCUAUGUUGUUAUGUGUACAAAGAAAUGAUCAAGUAGUGAAAAGUAAAAGGGUUCUCUGAAAGUUUAUUUUGGUAUUCUUAUUCUAGUAGUUUGUUAAUAAACUGUCUUUAUUCCUUUUAAGUUUUAAGCCUGUUUUGCUCUUAUUUUAAUCCAUAU
This is a long non-coding RNA of Poecile atricapillus (Black-capped chickadee), 1439 nucleotides long. RefSeq lists it as uncharacterized. Lineage: Eukaryota; Metazoa; Chordata; Aves; Passeriformes; Paridae. The record is from RefSeq and is a predicted model, not a curated record. The transcript has 4 exons.